This 235-nucleotide unclassified non-coding RNA is filed under the name Hevea brasiliensis (rubber tree). Lineage: Eukaryota; Viridiplantae; Streptophyta; Magnoliopsida; Malpighiales; Euphorbiaceae. The record is from RNAcentral.
GACAUUGCAUCUGACUAUUUUGAAGAUUUGUUGUUGAGGUCAUUCUUUCAAAAAUCCAAAACCAUUCUGUCAAAGUUUGUCAUGCAUGACUUGAUUCAUGACCUGGCACAAUCGGUGGCUGGAGAAAUGUGCUUCAGAUUGGAGCAUGAGAAACUUCAGAACAUCCCAGAGAUGGUUCGGCAUUCAUCUGUGCUAGUUGACGCAUUUAAGUCAGUCACAUUUGAGGCCUUGUACA